AUAUCCGUGGUAGUUCUAGAGCUAUACUAUUCUGUAUAUGCUCGACUUCGGAUGGGUUUGUGUGUUUUAAGAUAAAACAUCCAAUGGCCAUGCGUGUCUCAGUGGUGAUUCAUGAUAACAUCACAGGAUCUCAUAGCUCUUGACACUGGAAUCGGUUACAUUCAAAUUUCUGCCCUAUCAAUCUUUCGAUGGUAUGGUAUAGGCUUACCCAUGGUUUCAGCGGGUAACGGGGAAUUAGGGUUCGAUUCCGGAGAGGGAGCAUGAGAAACGGCUACCACAUCCAAGGAAGGCAGCAGGCGCUCAAGUUACCCAAUCACGACCCGUAGAGGUCGUGACAAUAAUUAGUGAUACAGGCCUCUUGGGGGUCUUGUAAUUGGAAUGAGUACAAUUUAAACCUCUUACCGAGGAACAAUUGGAGGGCAAGUCUGGUACCAGCAGCCGCGGUAAUUCCAGCUCCAAUAGCGUAUAUUAAAGUUGUUGCAGUUAAAAAGCUCGUAGUUGAAAUUUGGGUGUGGUUGGAGGGUCCGCCUCACCGCGUGCACUCGUCCGGCCGGGCCUUCCUUCUGAAGAACCUCAUGCCCUUUACUGGGCGUGUUGGGGAAUCAGGACUUUUACUUUGAAAAAAUUAGAGUGUUCAAAGCAGGCCUUUGCUCGAAUACGUUAGCAUGGAAUAAUAAAAUAGGGCGUGCGUUUCUAUUUUGUUGGUUUCUAGAGACGCCGCAAUGAUUAACAGGAACAGUCGGGGGCAUCAGUAUUCAGUUGUCAGAGGUGAAAUUUUUGGAUUUACUGAAGACUAACUCCUGCGAAAGCAUUUGCCAAGGAUGUUUUCAUUAAUCAGCGAACGAAAGUUAGGGGAUCGAAGACGAUCAGAUACCGUCGUAGUAUUAACCGUAAACUAUGCCGACUAGGGAUCGGG
This 916-nucleotide ribosomal RNA is filed under the name Bipolaris oryzae. RNAcentral's name for it is "SSU rRNA". It matches the Rfam family "Eukaryotic small subunit ribosomal RNA", at positions 143 to 1057 of the family's 1831-position model. The record is from RNAcentral. Lineage: Eukaryota; Fungi; Ascomycota; Dothideomycetes; Pleosporales; Pleosporaceae.